Long non-coding RNA from Silurus meridionalis, 558 nucleotides. RefSeq lists it as uncharacterized. NCBI's taxonomy places the organism in Eukaryota, Metazoa, Chordata, Actinopteri, Siluriformes, Siluridae. The record is from RefSeq and is a predicted model, not a curated record. The transcript has 2 exons.
ACACACACACACACACGCACACGCACACACACGCACACGCGUUACGCUGAUGAUAAUUAUUAUUCUAGUGUAUGAUAUAACACAUGUCCUCAUUUUCCUUUUCAACACAGGAUAUAAAACUAGUAAAACAGUUCCAGGCAAGACGACUACUUUACAGUCCCACAGGAGGAUCUCUGUAAAGCUUGGGCAGAAUCAGCAGUGCAGUCCAUCUACUCCAACCUCAAACCUUCAGUUUCUACCAUCCUACAACAGUAGCCAGUAAGCCGAGGACAUGGAGGUGGAGCAGAGAGCAUGAAAAUGGUUUAACGCCUCACACCCAGCCGUGGAUUAUUACCUUAUACCAUGGCCACAUCCUGGUGUUGAGGAGAUUUACGUUUGCAGAGCGAAGCUGAGUGAAUGGAUCACAAAUAGCGCUUCGAUUUUACUUAUUUUAUAUAUCAGACCAUUAGAGCUAAAAUUCUACUUCUCUGAAUGACACCCAGAGAUAAAGUAGUGCCAAAAGACACUGUGAUGUGAUGUGUGUCUGUGCUGCAUCUCUAAUACAGUAUUCAUGAUGAA